ACUUUUCUCUGUUUUGAAUCUAGCCUCGCAUGUUCUAAAACCCAUGCACUCUUUAUAUGUAAAUUUUAUUUCUCCAAACAACCUUUGAUUUUGGGUAUUGAUCUCAGACGGACAUUGCGUGAACUUGAUUGAUUCUUUCCUUGUCUAAAUUGAACCUUCCUAUUCCCUUAUUUUCUGACUUCGAUGUUUCUCCUUACUUAAUAAUUCCCUACUCACUAAUUUUCUGGUUGCAUGACACUUUUCUCUUUUUUGAAUCUAGCCUCGAAUGUUCUAAAACUCAUGCACUCUUUAUAUGUAGAUUUUUUCUCUCCAAACAACCUUUGAUUUUGGGUAUUGAUCUCAAAUGGACAUUGUGUGAACUUGAUUGAUUCUAUCCUUGUCUAAAUUGAACCUUCUUAUUCCCUUAUUUUCUAACUUGGUUCAUUAUUGAUUUCGAAUCUUUGAUUCCUUAUUUACUAUGUACUAGUUAAUUUGUUUCUUGCCUUAUUUACUUAAACCGCGUGUUUUAAACUUUCCCUUAUGAAUUUACCUCUUAUUUGCAUAUUGUGCAUGAUAUGCUACUUGAACUCCCUAAUUAAAGAAAUUCCCUUCUACUGAUUGUUUUCUGAUUGAUACUCGAUUAUUUUAUUUCCUUGCUUGCAUGCCUGACUAUAAGUAUAAAUACAUGCUCCUCUCUUCACUCCAUUAUCGAAUUCUGACUGCCAAUCAAAUCAGAUUUCACUUCUUUGUCUUGAAAUAUUCUUUACUACUACCAUUACUACUAUUUAUUCUUUUCUACACUACUACUGAGAAUUCUACAUCAUUACUUCCUGCUAUUUGAACUCCGAAGUACUUGUGGGAGCUUCUUGAGUUUGUUCAUGUUGACGACAUGGCUGUUUGUUUGCUGUUACUAUUCUGCUGUUCUAGAGUUUGCAACUGGUUUGUUCUACUAUUUUAAAUAACAUCCUCUUUAUUAUGAGUUCUUUUCUCCUCUUCAACCUUUCUUUCUUUGUGUAUUUUCUCAUGAUUUCCUUUAUUAUGUGAUUAUAUUUAAGCAUGCUAUGCCUCCUUGUGCUUUCAAUCCGUUAUGUUUUAACCCCUUCCCUCCAUUCGCUUAUUAUGUGAGUAUUGUCUUGAUCAUGGCAGCACUUUGAAUUGCUGCCUAUGAUACAGAACUAGACUCUCCUGAGUCUUUACUCAAUUAUUUUCCUAUUCCAUUUCCCUUCUAUGAGUUGAG
This 1216-nucleotide long non-coding RNA is filed under the name Nicotiana benthamiana. RNAcentral describes it as "long non-coding RNA (NBEN_LNC017448)". The record is from RNAcentral. Lineage: Eukaryota; Viridiplantae; Streptophyta; Magnoliopsida; Solanales; Solanaceae.